GUCAUUUUGGAAGCAAAAGCAUAUUUGGCUGAAUAAACCUAGAUGAGAUCUGCAAUUGCAAGCAUCCCAGAAGAGGAAGGUAACCAAGAGAUGAUGAUGUUACUGGUUACUUGACACGUGGAGCUUUGCUAUCCCGGGAGAGAAGGGUGAUGACUGGUUGGACUUAAAGGUGUUAGGACGGAUGAAGAGGAAAGGGUUGACAUUUAAGGCUGUUGCAGCUGCAGCGAGAAGUAAUGGAUAAAUCUUACUUUAAUUCCUAAAGAAAUCAUGAGGUUCAGACCUUCAUAUACAAAGGAAGAAAAAAAUGAAGGCAAAGUCUUCACAUUGUAUAAGAUAGAAACCAGGAAACUGUAGUACUCUCAUGUUCUUUUGCCUUGAAGCAGUGAUAUCUCAUUUCUUCUAUGCUUCAAUAAAUAGCAGAC
Bos taurus (domestic cattle) is the source of this 422-nucleotide long non-coding RNA. The record is from Ensembl. NCBI's taxonomy places the organism in Eukaryota, Metazoa, Chordata, Mammalia, Artiodactyla, Bovidae.